This 893-nucleotide ribosomal RNA is filed under the name uncultured bacterium. RNAcentral's name for it is "bacterial SSU rRNA". It matches the Rfam family "Bacterial small subunit ribosomal RNA", at positions 8 to 879 of the family's 1533-position model. The record is from RNAcentral.
AGAGUUUGAUCCUGGCUCAGGACGAACGCUGGCGGCGUGCUUAACACAUGCAAGUCGAACGGACUGAGUUGAUAGCUUGCUAUUGAUGAGGUUAGUGGCAAACGGGUGAGUAACGCGUAGGCAACCUGCCCUUCAGAUGGGGACAACACUCCGAAAGGGGUGCUAAUACCGAAUGACGUUUUCUGGUCGCAUGACCGGGAAACCAAAGGCCGGGCAACCGGUCACUGAAGGAUGGGCCUGCGUCUGAUUAGCUGGUUGGUGGGGUAACGGCCCACCAAGGCGACGAUCAGUAGCCGGUCUGAGAGGAUGAACGGCCACAUUGGGACUGAGACACGGCCCAAACUCCUACGGGAGGCAGCAGUGGGGAAUCUUCCGCAAUGGGCGCAAGCCUGACGGAGCAACGCCGCGUGAGUGAAGAAGGUUUUCGGAUCGUAAAGCUCUGUUGAGAGGGACGAGAGAUAUAAUCAGGAAAUGGGUUAUAGAGGACGGUACCUUUCGAGGAAGCCACGGCUAACUACGUGCCAGCAGCCGCGGUAAUACGUAGGUGGCGAGCGUUGUCCGGAAUUAUUGGGCGUAAAGGGAGCGCAGGUGGGAAAGUAAGUCAGUCUUAAAAGUUCGGGGCUCAACCCCGUGAUGGGAUUGAAACUACUUUUCUUGAGUGCAGGAGAAGAAAGCGGAAUUCCUAGUGUAGCGGUGAAAUGCGUAGAUAUUAGGAGGAACACCAGUGGCGAAGGCGGCUUUCUGGACUGUAACUGACACUGAGGCUCGAAAGCGUGGGGAGCGAACAGGAUUAGAUACCCUGGUAGUCCACGCCGUAAACGAUGAAUGCUAGGUGUAGGAGGUAUCGACCCCUUCUGUGCCGGAGUUAACGCAAUAAGCAUUCCGCCUGGGGA